RNAcentral lists this ribosomal RNA (574 nucleotides) under Suhomyces maxii. Its description in RNAcentral is "eukaryotic LSU rRNA". It matches the Rfam family "Eukaryotic large subunit ribosomal RNA", at positions 40 to 635 of the family's 3401-position model. Lineage: Eukaryota; Fungi; Ascomycota; Pichiomycetes; Serinales; Debaryomycetaceae. The record is from RNAcentral.
AUAUCAAUAAGCGGAGGAAAAGAAACCAACCGGGAUUGCCUUAGUAACGGCGAGUGAAGCGGCAAAAGCUCAAAUUUGAAAUCUGGCUCCUUUGCGGGGGUCCGAGUUGUAAUUUGAAGAAGCGACUUUGGGCCUGGCUCUUGUCUAUGUUCCUUGGAACAGGACGUCACAGAGGGUGAGAAUCCCGUGCGAUGAGAGACCCAGGUUCGUGUAAAGCGUUUUCGACGAGUCGAGUUGUUUGGGAAUGCAGCUCUAAGUGGGUGGUAAAUUCCAUCUAAAGCUAAAUAUUGGCGAGAGACCGAUAGCGAACAAGUACAGUGAUGGAAAGAUGAAAAGAACUUUGAAAAGAGAGUGAAAAAGUACGUGAAAUUGUUGAAAGGGAAGGGCUUGAGAUCAGACUUUGUUUUUCCAUGGCGCUCUUUCGGGGGUGUCCUCUGGGUCUACAGGGCCAGCAUGGGUUUUGCGGGCGAGACAAGGACCUAGGAAUGUGGCUCUGCUUCGGUGGAGUGUUAUAGCCUGGGGUACUGGUCGCCAUGCGGGACCGAGGACUGCGGUACUAGGAUGCUGGCAUAAU